Molecule: ribosomal RNA, 460 nt
Filed under: uncultured bacterium
Lineage: Bacteria
Description: partial 16S ribosomal RNA
Rfam family: Bacterial small subunit ribosomal RNA
Source: RNAcentral
CCUACGGGUGGCAGCAGUGAGGAAUAUUGGUCAAUGGGCUUACGCCUGAACCAGCCAAGUCGCGUGAGGGAAGACUGCCCUAUGGGUUGUAAACCUCUUUUGUCAGGGAGCAACGCCGGCUACGUGUAGCCGGACUGAGAGUACCUGAAGAAAAAGCAUCGGCUAACUCCGUGCCAGCAGCCGCGGUAAUACGGAGGAUGCGAGCGUUAUCCGGAUUUAUUGGGUUUAAAGGGUGCGUAGGCGGACUGGAAAGUCAGCGGUAAAAUCGAGAGGCUCAACCUCUUUCCGCCGUUGAAACUGUCGGUCUUGAGUGGGCGAGAAGUAUGCGGAAUGCGUGGUGUAGCGGUGAAAUGCAUAGAUAUCACGCAGAACUCCGAUUGCGAAGGCAGCAUACCGGCGCCCGACUGACGCUGAGGCACGAAAGCGUGGGUAUCGAACAGGAUUAGAUACCCUUGUAGUC